UGCCUUCUGAGAACAAACACCACCAUUUUUACAAUUCACCAUGGAUACCAAUAUCAAAACCUGUCUUCUCCUUCUCUUGCUCUUUCUCGACUCUUCUUCAGGCAGCAGAGUGAAGGGCUUUAGACAUGUUAUAAAUCCUGCAAAUCCACCAAGCGAGGUCAUUGGUGACAUGGAGGUGAGAGAGCUCAUUGCAGCUCAUGCUAUGUUGGACUAUGAAAAGCCAAUACCAAACCCAAGGCAUGAAAAAGGGAGGCCAGGUGGUGGUAAUUAGUGAAAAUCUGUCCUUCCAUUUUCUUACUCUAAUGUCACAGCAAUCAAUAAAUGGUGCUCUGCCUAUAAGGAGGGGAUGUGAGGGGCUAUCCGAUCAUUAUAUCAUAAGCACUAUGGAAUAAAUAAAAAGGUUAAAAAAUUUAGAAGAAAUGUAUAAUUUCCUAAGUGGAUAGAGUAACACGAAUCAUAUGUGUUCAAUGCCAAUCACCAUGUAAAAAUGGGUUAUUGGUUGUGACAGAAAGGAUUGACAUGGUGAGACCAAUUGUAUUGCUAUUAUUUUCUUCCAAAGAUUAUUGACCUAUGUUCUUA
Molecule: long non-coding RNA, 579 nt
Organism: Prunus mume (Japanese apricot)
Lineage: Eukaryota; Viridiplantae; Streptophyta; Magnoliopsida; Rosales; Rosaceae
Source: RefSeq, a predicted model, not a curated record